Molecule: ribosomal RNA, 253 nt
Filed under: uncultured bacterium
Lineage: Bacteria
Description: partial 16S ribosomal RNA
Rfam family: Bacterial small subunit ribosomal RNA
Source: RNAcentral
UACGUAGGGUCCAAGCGUUAUCCGGAAUCACUGGGCGUAAAGCGUCCGCAGCCGGCGUGUUAAGUGAGAUGUUAAAUCGUGGGGCUCAACCCCGUCGAUGCAUCUCAUACUGGCAUGCUAGAGGAAAUCAGAGGCAAGUGGAAUUGGUAGUGUAGCAGUGAAAUGCGUAGAUAUUACCAGGAACAUCAAUGGCGAAGGCAGCUUGCUGGGAUUUUUCUGACGGUCAGGGACGAAAGCGUGGGGAGCGAACAGG